Molecule: long non-coding RNA, 309 nt
Filed under: Mytilus galloprovincialis (Mediterranean mussel)
Lineage: Eukaryota; Metazoa; Mollusca; Bivalvia; Mytilida; Mytilidae
Source: RNAcentral
CUGGUUAAAUAUGUCGGGGCAGACAUACAUUACUAUUAGAAAAAGUCCCUAGAGUGUUUAAAUUUCCGUGUGUGCCCAUGUUUCCAAUAAAAAUGCUACAAAACUUAAACUCAAUUGUCACGUAUUUUACAUCGCAUUUAUAAAUGAUUUGUAUGGAAAACUUUGGCGAUUUUACUGCCAAAUAUUCUCCACUUUACAGGCUUUUUGCACCUUUGGUUCAUGUCAGAUAUAAAUAAUAUAGCAAUGCUGGUCGAAGGCAUCGUUAACCAUGAUAAUCAUCCUGAUCUACGGAUCACAAAAGGCCAUCCC